AACGAACGCUGGCGGCAUGCCUAACACAUGCAAGUCGAACGAUGCCUUCGGGCAUAGUGGCGCACGGGUGCGUAACGCGUGGGAAUCUGCCUUUCGGUUCGGAAUAACUCAGGGAAACUUGAGCUAAUACCGGAUAACGUCGCAAGACCAAAGAUUUAUCACCGAAAGAUGAGCCCGCGUAGGAUUAGCUAGUUGGUGAGGUAAAGGCUCACCAAGGCGACGAUCCUUAGCUGGUCUGAGAGGAUGAUCAGCCACACUGGGACUGAGACACGGCCCAGACUCCUACGGGAGGCAGCAGUGGGGAAUAUUGGACAAAGGGCGAAAGCCUGAUCCAGCAAUGCCGCGUGAGUGAUGAAGGCCUUAGGGUUGUAAAGCUCUUUUACCCGGGAAGAUAAUGACGGUACCGGGAGAAUAAGCCCCGGCUAACUCCGUG
RNAcentral lists this ribosomal RNA (433 nucleotides) under uncultured bacterium. RNAcentral's name for it is "partial 16S ribosomal RNA". It matches the Rfam family "Bacterial small subunit ribosomal RNA", at positions 29 to 507 of the family's 1533-position model. The record is from RNAcentral.